AUGUCGGAAAUCAUCUUGGAAAACAAACCUAAGCUCAUCAAAUGGCUUAGUUUGGAUUAUAAAUUUGUUUUGCAACAUGUUCAAGCUAAAAAACUUAUAACACACUCGCACUAUGAUGACUUGAUGGCCAUGAAGGCGAGCGACAGUAUCAUCAAACUUCUGGACAUCAUCCGUAGAAGAGGAGAAAAUGUGUGUCGAGAUUUUCUGGAUUUGCUAAAAGAUGAUGAUGUGAAUGAAAUAUCGCCGGAGCUAAGAGACUGGGUCAAAACAGUUGACUCAGAAGACCAAGAAACCUGAUAGAGACUGUGAACACAGGCCAGUACAAGAUUAUCAGAAGUUUCUAAAAUAAAACACCAGUCUGCUGGUUCAACAAGUGAAGAACAUUGAUCCAAUUAUUGAUGAUCUCGACCUACAUGAUGAAUCCGUUGCAGUUGUGAGAGUGAAGCCAACAGAUCAAGAGAAGAUGAGGAAACUGCUUACCGAACUGCUGAACAGCUACUGAGUGUUGUAUUGUUUACCCACCAGAUUAGCAGCAUGUUAUUAAAGGAAAUGGAAUAUUGUACUGUCAAUGCCAACAAUAAAUUUUUUAAUGUUUUGAUAGUAAAAGUGAUAGUUCUUGGAGUUUUCCUUUUUUAUAUAAAUUGAGAACCAAGUAUAUUGUACAAACAGGCCUACAUGUAACCAAACAUGUCAGGGAUAUAUAUAUAUAUAUAUAUGUAUAUAUAUAUGUGUGUGUGUGUGUGUGUGUGUGUGUGCAUUUUACAUAUUAACCUUUUGUAUAGGUUGCACUGCUUUAAAGUUUUUUUUUAUUGUUUCUAAAUAUAAAUAUUUUAAUGUUGAUUUUAAAUCGUUUAAACAGUGGCAGUUGUUAAUUACAUUUUAUCAAUAUAACGGCUUGCUAUGAAGCACACUUGGAUUUUGGAUGGCAUUUUACAUCGAUCUAUCUAAAAUUCUAUUAACUUAAAAAGCACAUUUCUACUAGUCUAUUUGCAUAGUUUUACUACUGGCGAAAUUAGCUCUCAGAGUCAUGACAGACCCACCCCCCCAAACCUCCCACCGGUUUCACGUACAGCCGUUUACACCCAUGUCAAACACAAACACAACUGGAGGUGCAGUAGAAGAACUCAGUCACUAGGUGGGGAUGGUGGUUCAGUACAACGAGUGAAGAGACGGAAGAAGGGGCUUGAACCGUGUCUAAAAGCACCUGUUGGCACAGGUAAAAAUAAAUACAAAUAUAAUAUGAAUUGUAAUUCAUUGCUCAAUCUAUAGAGAUUUAUUACACUCAGGUGGGUAAGUUACAGUUAUAUUUAUGGUCACAGCACCUAGCAGAUUCUGUUUGGGGAUGCAUUCAUGCUGCUUGGUGGUUUGAGGUUUGUUUUUGUAAACCGUUUGUAAGGAUUGCUUCAUUCUCAUCUAUUAGACUGUGGGGAAUUGUGGGAAAUUGUAAGCGCUCAGAAGGGCACACAGAGAACCUUGUCAGGCAUUACUGCACUAGAGAUUACAUAAAAAGUAACAUUUUUAAUGUGGUUGCAGCAAUCAGAGCUAGAGAACCAGGCUUUAGGUCUGUGUCUUUACUGUGCUCUAACAUUACUAUUUUGUAUUUUGAUGACAUUUUAGUUUACAUUUUAUUGUAAAUAAAUUUGCUUCAUGUAUGUUGAAUAUUUAUUUAUUUAUAACAAAUCUGAUGUCAAACAUCUGUGGAAC
Cyprinus carpio carpio is the source of this 1704-nucleotide long non-coding RNA. The record is from Ensembl. Lineage: Eukaryota; Metazoa; Chordata; Actinopteri; Cypriniformes; Cyprinidae.